UGUAUAUAUGUUGUCAGCUCGUGCCGUAAGGUGUUAAGUCUCGCAAAUAAGCGUUACCCUCGUAUUUAGUUGUCAUCAUUAAGUUUGGAACAUCGAACAAAUUAUCAGCAAUAAAUUGGAGAAAGGUAAAGAUGACGUCAAGUUAUCAUA
This 150-nucleotide ribosomal RNA is filed under the name Olea europaea subsp. europaea. Its description in RNAcentral is "SSU_rRNA_bacteria". The record is from RNAcentral. Lineage: Eukaryota; Viridiplantae; Streptophyta; Magnoliopsida; Lamiales; Oleaceae.